AUUGAACGCUGGCGGCAGGCCUAACACAUGCAAGUCGAGCGGAUGAAGGGAGCUUGCUCCUGGAUUCAGCGGCGGACGGGUGAGUAAUGCCUAGGAAUCUGCCUGGUAGUGGGGGAUAACGUCCGGAAACGGGCGCUAAUACCGCAUACGUCCUGAGGGAGAAAGUGGGGGAUCUUCGGACCUCACGCUAUCAGAUGAGCCUAGGUCGGAUUAGCUAGUUGGUGGGGUAAAGGCCUACCAAGGCGACGAUCCGUAACUGGUCUGAGAGGAUGAUCAGUCAAACUGGAACUGGGACACGGUCCAGACCCCUACGGGAGGCAGCAGUGGGGAAUUUGGGACAAUGGGCGAAAGCCUUAUCCAGCCAUGCCGGGGGGGGGAAGAAGGUCUUCGGAUUGUAAAGCCCUUUAAGUUGGGAGGAAGGGCAGUAAGUUAAUACCUUUCUGUUUUGACGUUACCAACAGAAUAAGCACCGGCUAACUUCGU
Molecule: ribosomal RNA, 483 nt
Filed under: uncultured bacterium
Lineage: Bacteria
Description: partial 16S ribosomal RNA
Rfam family: Bacterial small subunit ribosomal RNA
Source: RNAcentral